Solanum tuberosum (potato) is the source of this 90-nucleotide non-coding RNA. Lineage: Eukaryota; Viridiplantae; Streptophyta; Magnoliopsida; Solanales; Solanaceae. The record is from Rfam.
CGGCUGUAGCUACAUGAAAAUAAUUGAGAAGUUUACUGGCCGGUUGUUGUAAAUCUGUUGACAUAUCUGCUUACCGAACUUCUUACAUUU